Molecule: ribosomal RNA, 117 nt
Filed under: Pteropus alecto (black flying fox)
Lineage: Eukaryota; Metazoa; Chordata; Mammalia; Chiroptera; Pteropodidae
Source: RNAcentral
GUCUAUGGCCAUGCCACGCUGAACAAGCCUGAUAUCUGAUCUCGGAAGCUAAGCAAGGGUCAGACCUGGUUAGUACUUGGACAGGAGACCACCUAGGAAGACCGAGUGCUAUAGGCA